CCUACGGGUGGCAGCAGUGAGGAAUAUUGGUCAAUGGACGCAAGUCUGAACCAGCCAUGCCGCGUGCAGGAAGACGGCUCUAUGAGUUGUAAACUGCUUUUGUACGAGGGUAAACGCAGAUACGCGUAUCUGUCUGAAAGUAUCGUACGAAUAAGGAUCGGCUAACUCCGUGCCAGCAGCCGCGGUAAUACGGAGGAUUCAAGCGUUAUCCGGAUUUAUUGGGUUUAAAGGGUGCGUAGGUGGUCGGAUAAGUUAGAGGUGAAAGCCCGCGGCUCAACUUCGGAAUUGCCUCUGAUACUGUUCGGCUAGAGUGUAGUUGAGGUAGGCGGAAUGUAUGGUGUAGCGGUGAAAUGCUUAGAGAUCAUACAGAACACCGAUUGCGAAGGCAGCUUACCAAGCUACUUCUGACGUUGAGGCACGAAAGCGUGGGGAGCAAACAGGAUUAGAUACCCUUGUAGUC
RNAcentral lists this ribosomal RNA (460 nucleotides) under uncultured bacterium. Its description in RNAcentral is "partial 16S ribosomal RNA". It matches the Rfam family "Bacterial small subunit ribosomal RNA", at positions 338 to 795 of the family's 1533-position model. The record is from RNAcentral.